RNAcentral lists this ribosomal RNA (860 nucleotides) under uncultured marine bacterium. Its description in RNAcentral is "bacterial SSU rRNA". It matches the Rfam family "Bacterial small subunit ribosomal RNA", at positions 8 to 916 of the family's 1533-position model. The record is from RNAcentral.
AGAGUUUGAUCCUGGCUCAGAACGUACGCUGGCGGCACGCCUAACACAUGCAAGUCGAACGAAGUAGCAAUACUUAGUGGCAGACGGGUGAGUAACAUGUAGGUAUCUGCCCUUUGGCCUGGAAUAACACGAGGAAACUUGUGCUAAUACUGGAUAAGUCUUUACGGAGAAAGCUUUAUGCACCAUUGGAUGAGCCUGCACUUGAUUAGUUUGUUGGUGGGGUAAUGGCCUACCAAGACUAUGAUCAAUAGCUGAUUUGAGAGGAUGAUCAGCCACAUUGGGACUGAGACACGGCCCAAACUCCUACGGGAGGCAGCAGUGGGGAAUCUUGCACAAUGGAGGAAACUCUGAUGCAGCGAUGCCGCGUGAGUGAAGAAGGCCCUUGGGUUGUAAAGCUCUUUCGUCGGGGAAGAAAAUGACUGUACCCGAAUAAGAAGGUCCGGCUAACUUCGUGCCAGCAGCCGCGGUAAUACGAAGGGACCUAGCGUAGUUCGGAAUUACCGGGCUUAAAGAGUUCGUAGGUGGUUGAAAAAGUUGGUGGUGAAAUCCCAGAGCUUAACUCUGGAACUGCCAUCAAAACUUUUCAGCUAGAGUAUGAUAGAGGAAAGCAGAAUUUCUAGUGUAGAGGUGAAAUUCGUAGAUAUUAAAAAGAAUACCAAUUGCGAAGGCAGCUUUCUGGAUCAUUACUGACACUGAGGAACGAAAGCAUGGGUAGCGAAGAGGAUUAGAUACCCUCGUAGUCCAUGCCGUAAACGAUGUGUGUUAGACGUUGGAAAUUUAUUUUCAGUGUCGCAGCGAAAGCGAUAAACACACCGCCUGGGGAGUACGACCGCAAGGUUAAAACUCAAAGGAAUUGACGG